RNAcentral lists this ribosomal RNA (435 nucleotides) under uncultured Fusobacterium sp. RNAcentral describes it as "bacterial SSU rRNA". It matches the Rfam family "Bacterial small subunit ribosomal RNA", at positions 28 to 488 of the family's 1533-position model. The record is from RNAcentral. Lineage: Bacteria; Fusobacteriati; Fusobacteriota; Fusobacteriia; Fusobacteriales; Fusobacteriaceae.
GAUGAACGCUGACAGAAUGCUUAACACAUGCAAGUCUACUUGAACUUCGGUUUGGGUGGCGGACGGGUGAGUAACGCGUAAAGAACUUGCCUCACAGAUAGGGACAACAUUUGGAAACGAAUGCUAAUACCUGAUAUUAUGAUUUUAGGGCAUCCUAGAAUUAUGAAAGCUAUAUGCACUGUGAGAGAGCUUUGCGUCCCAUUAGCUAGUUGGAGAGGUAACGGCUCACCAAGGCGAUGAUGGGUAGCCGGCCUGAGAGGGUAAUCGGCCACAAGGGGACUGAGACACGGCCCUUACUCCUACGGGAGGCAGCAGUGGGGAAUAUUGGACAAUGGACCAAGAGUCUGAUCCAGCAAUUCUGUGUGCACGAUGAAGUUUUUCGGAAUGUAAAGUGCUUUCAGUUGGGAAGAAAAAAAUGACGGUACCAACAGAAGA